Molecule: long non-coding RNA, 2526 nt
Organism: Brachypodium distachyon (stiff brome)
Lineage: Eukaryota; Viridiplantae; Streptophyta; Magnoliopsida; Poales; Poaceae
Exons: 2
Source: RefSeq, a predicted model, not a curated record
ACCGUAUUUCUUCUUUUCUCCUCGUCCGUACAGCCUCCAACUCCGCGAUCUCCUUCCCUUCGCUGCGGCCGCUGCCGCCUCCCGCCCCCGCGGCCCUCCUCUGCCCCAACACCCAGCGGCCGCCGAAGCCUCCUCCACCCCACGGCCCUCCUCUAUCCCGCCUCUGCCCGGCUCGCCCCUGGUCGCCGCGAUCUCCUUCCCUUCUCUGCGGCCGCCGCCGCCUCCCACCACCGCGGCCAUCCUCUGCGCCGCCACCCAGUGGCCGCCGACGCCUCAUCCACCCCACGACCCUCCUCUGUCCGACUCGCCGCUCGCCCGCCGCCGCCGCGAUCUCCACCUACGAUCCGCGCAUGCCGUCGGAGGCACGCGACGAGGAGGCUGCCGACGCUGCCUCCUCCCCUCCGAGGCCCUCCUCUGACCCGCCUCCCACCAAGCCCUCCUCGGCCCUGCCUCUGCCCGCCACGCCCGUUUGCCAGCCGGCGCCGGCGUUCUCCACCUGCGAUCCACGGCCGCCGUCAGAGUCUCCCGGGUCCUCAAUUCCGUGACACUACACCGGAUAAGAAGUGGUAGAACCCUGCAAGGAUGGUGAUGUUUUACCCAGAAGGAUGGCAAAUUCAGAAAUACUGCGUAUUUGAUCAAAGGAAGCAUGCCUUAGACUGCUGUCCUGUUUUCUGGCUUGCUUGCAAUGUACUCCCUCCGUUCCAUAAUUCUUGUCUCAAAUUUGCCCAAAAAUGGAUGUAUUUAUUCCUAAAAAGCGUCUAGAUACAUGUAAUAUUUCGAUAAGAAUUAUGGAACGGAGGGAGUACAAAGAUUUGCACCAAUUUUCUUUUCUGGGUCAUUUUCUCAUGAUAUAGCAGUGAAGGGUUAGGGUCCUUUGUAGGGCCAUUUUGGUAGAGAAUCAGUUUGUUUCCCAUAUGAAUCUUUUUAUUCAUGGAAGAGCAAACAGAAGUUGAAAGUUUACAACAAGAGGGUAGCUUUUCAAAGGAUAUUAAGGAUUUUGAUCAUGUCCUGUUCAUGGAAGAAAAGUGUGAUUUUUUCUUGAAGUGCAAAUUAUAAUGUGACCGUCAUAAGGACGUUCAUGUCCUGUUCAAUGGAAGAUCACAUAUGGGUGUUGGGGGCAAAUAACAGUCCUGUGCAUGUGACCGUUCUGAACUUUUUAACACUGAACUUUUCAACACUAAAUUAAACCGUAUCUGGGAAAAGAAUAGUCCAAUUUUAAUGUUUUUCUUACAACAUUAAUAGCAGUAUAUGGGUGUUCUGGGCAAAGAAUAGUCCAAUUUUAAUUUUUUUGUUACAACAUUAAUAGCAGUAUAUAUGGCUUAAUUGUUUUUUUUUCUUGCAUUGCUUUUAUGUGGAAAAUUUUAUGGGCACACAUCGGCCACACCUUCCCUUCUUAACCAUCAACGCACUGAAUAAUAUCCACAAUAUUCUCUGUUAGGUUAUUAUUGUUUGAACUUUGAAGUAGAGCAGCAAAAUGCAGAGGAUAUGCACCUCCUUAUGAUGGUUAAUUUUUCAGGUCCUGGAACAAUAAUUGAUCAAGUAUGUAUAGAAUUCACCAUUCUGCAUGCUUCGUAUAGAAAUAAGGUGCAAUAUCCUAUUUGUAUUCAUUGACGUUCUUUUGUUAUAACGGUCCAAACCUACGACACAUCAUCCAAGUCACAAUAUUUAUCGUCAUAUCGUUUGUAUUGACCUGAUGAUUAUAUUCUUCUUAAAGGUGAAAUCUACUCAAGCUAAAGUUGAUUUGAAUGAGGUGCAGAUGUGUUGUUUCAAUUUUGUGCAAUUGAAGUUUGUUUGUGUCACGUCCGACUCAUGUUCGCGUGGUUUUCCGGUGAAGAUGCAUCUGAAGCUUCAGUUUUGUGUUUGUAUAAUUAAAUUAGCAUUUGUAAUUAGGUGACUGAUCAACGGAGAAAUUCUUUGCUCUCAGCGCAGAGUAAGAAACAACAAGCACAAAGGAGCGGCUCUUGGAAGAACUGGUUGGACUAUGUGCUCUACCUUCUCCACAGUUCAUUUCAGAAAUCACUGGUUUCAGAUUCUUUAGGUUCUUUUUUCUCCAAAUAGUGAGCAGGUUUGCACCAGGCUCUCACUUCACUCUUGGAAAGAAACUUGGAAUUGGUAGCCCACUGUUGGGAAUAUAGAAAUAUACAUGUUGUAUUCACGGUGAGAAGAAUUGGAUCGAAGUUUGAUGUUGCUGCGUGCAAGCAUUUUCAGUUUCUGAGAUGCUUUCUCUUCUAGCGUUUUGUUUCAUGGUGCACCAGAUUGUAGUGAUUAGGCCUUAUGUUCUUUUUUCUCCAAAUAGUGAGCAGGAUGACUAUGAAGUUAUUCGGAAAGCUGGGAGAGGCAAAUACAGUGAAGUCUUUGAGUGAAUCAAUGGUAACAAUAGUUAGAAAUGUGUUAUUAAGAUACAAUAAUGAGAAAUGUUAUUAAGAGCUUCAGUAGCGAUUUGAGAGAACAGAAAUGUUUGGCCUUGAGAUUUUUUAUCCUUGCAGCAUAAUAUAAGUUUUACUCCCAGUGGGUACUGUUAUUGAA